AUUCGUAGGGGGCGAGCGUUGUCCGGAAUGAUUGGGCGUAAAGGGCGCGUAGGCGGCGCGGUAAGUCUGGAGUGAAAGUCCUGCUUUCAAGGUGGGAAUUGCUUUGGAUACUGCCGCGCUUGAGUGCAGGAGAGGUUAUCGGAAUUCCCGGUGUAGCGGUGAAAUGCGUAGAGAUCGGGAGGAACACCAGUGGCGAAGGCGGGUAACUGGACUGCAACUGACGCUGAGGCGCGAAAGUGUGGGGAGCAAACAGGAUUAGAUACCCUGGUAGUCCACACUGUAAACGAUGAAUGCUAGGUGUAAGAGGUAUCGACCCCUUUUGUGCCGGAGUCAACACAAUAAGCAUUCCGCCUGGGGAGUACGGCCGCAAGGUUGAAACUUAAAGGAAUUGGCGGGG
This 397-nucleotide ribosomal RNA is filed under the name uncultured bacterium. RNAcentral describes it as "partial 16S ribosomal RNA". It matches the Rfam family "Bacterial small subunit ribosomal RNA", at positions 523 to 918 of the family's 1533-position model. The record is from RNAcentral.